GAUGAACGCUGGCGGCGUGCUUAACACAUGCAAGUCGAGCGAGAAGUUUUGAAAAGAUUCUUCGGAUGAAAUUUAAAAUGGAAAGCGGCGGACGGGUGAGUAACGCGUAGGCAACCUGCCCCAUACAAAGGGAUAGCAUUUGGAAACGAAUAUUAAUACCUUAUGAAACUUAACUAGUGCAUGCUAGGUAGGUCAAAGAUUUAUCGGUAUGGGAUGGGCCUGCGUCUGAUUAGCUAGUUGGUGAGGUAACGGCUCACCAAGGCGACGAUCAGUAGCCGACCUGAGAGGGUGAACGGCCACAUUGGAACUGAGACACGGUCCAAACUCCUACGGGAGGCAGCAGUGGGGAAUAUUGCACAAUGGGGGAAACCCUGAUGCAGCAGCGCCGCGUGAACGAUGAAGGCCUUUGGGUCGUAAAGUUCUGUUCUAGGUGAUGAAAACUGACAGUAACCUAGGAGAAAGCCCCGGCUAACUCCGUG
Molecule: ribosomal RNA, 479 nt
Filed under: uncultured bacterium
Lineage: Bacteria
Description: partial 16S ribosomal RNA
Rfam family: Bacterial small subunit ribosomal RNA
Source: RNAcentral